GUCUAUGGCUAUGCCACCCUGAAUGUGCCCGAUCUUGUCUGAUCUCGGAAGCCAAGCAGGGUCAGGCCAGGUUAGUACUUGGAUGAGAGACCACAUAGGAAUACCAGGUGCUGUAGGCG
This 119-nucleotide ribosomal RNA is filed under the name Pteropus alecto (black flying fox). Lineage: Eukaryota; Metazoa; Chordata; Mammalia; Chiroptera; Pteropodidae. The record is from RNAcentral.